This 759-nucleotide long non-coding RNA is filed under the name Ictidomys tridecemlineatus (thirteen-lined ground squirrel). RNAcentral's name for it is "lncRNA (ENSSTOG00000034591.1)". Lineage: Eukaryota; Metazoa; Chordata; Mammalia; Rodentia; Sciuridae. The record is from RNAcentral.
CCUGUGGGGGAGGUCUCAGGCCUCCACAGCUCUGUGUCCAGAAGGAACGACCUACUGCGCGCACGGGGCUCUGCUGCAGCAGCCUAAAGCACUUGUUGUGAUGAUGCAUUUUGGUGAAACUGAAUUAAAUGUGGCAUGUUAAAAUCAUUUUACUUGUCUCUUUGUUUUCACUGAGGGUUUUUAUCUCCUCACGUGGUUCUCCUCCAGGCGUGUGGUCAGUGCUGUUCUAGAGGGGUCUCUACGGGGUGCAGGACUCUCAGGCCUGGGGCCGCCAUGAGCCUUCUAAAGGGAAGCGAGGAAAAGCAACAUCUGGCCAGGCAGUGGGCCCGGACUCCAGGGCCACUGUGAAGUAAGGCAGUCCUUCCUCCCUCCCGCUCCGUCCCCCUCCCCUCCCCCAGAUGUGGAAGAGGCACACUGUACGUGGGAAGGAAUGCUAUCUGCUCUGAACACGGAGAGAAAUCCUCCAUUUGCAACAGCAUAGGUGGCCCUGGAGGGCACCUGGAGUACACCGACCCACAGUCUCGUUGGCAGGCGCUGGGACCGCGUGGGCAGGGGAGUGCAAGGACCAACCACCUGGCCCAGGAGCCAGAGCUCGGCACACUGCCCUGACCCUCCUGGUGGAAGGCGGACGGGGCAGCACAUGCAGCUUGCAGAGCAGAGCCAGGCCAGAGCAGAGGUCAGCAGCAAAGCUCGAGGCCCAGAGCGCUACACAGAGCGCCAUUCAAAGUCCUCUCUCCUUCCCUCGGGAAGCCCCUCACU